GACGAACGCUGGCGGCGUGCUCAACACAUGCAAGUCGAACGGUAAGGCCCUUCGGGGUACACGAGUGGCGAACGGGUGAGUAACACGUGGGUGAUCUGCCCUGCACUUCGGGAUAAGCCUGGGAAACUGGGUCUAAUACCGGAUAGGACCACUGCCUGCAUGGGUGGUGGUGGAAAGCUUUUGCGGUGUGGGAUGGGCCCGCGGCCUAGCAGCUUGUUGGUGGGGUGAUGGCCUACCAAGGCGACGACGGGUAGCCGGCCUGAGAGGGUGACCGGCCACACUGGGACUGAGAUACGGCCCAGACUCCUACGGGAGGCAGCAGUGGGGAAUAUUGCACAAUGGGCGCAAGCCUGAUGCAGCGACGCCGCGUGAGGGAUGACGGCCUUCGGGUUGUAAACCUCUUUCAGCACCGACGAAGCGCAAGUGACGGUAGGUGCAGAAGAAGGACCGGCCAACUACGUGCCAGCAGCCGCCGUAA
Molecule: ribosomal RNA, 478 nt
Filed under: uncultured bacterium
Lineage: Bacteria
Description: partial 16S ribosomal RNA
Rfam family: Bacterial small subunit ribosomal RNA
Source: RNAcentral